Myxocyprinus asiaticus (Chinese sucker) is the source of this 6377-nucleotide long non-coding RNA. RefSeq lists it as uncharacterized. The transcript is spliced from 2 exons. The record is from RefSeq and is a predicted model, not a curated record. Lineage: Eukaryota; Metazoa; Chordata; Actinopteri; Cypriniformes; Catostomidae.
CAUUCGUCAAUGCCUGACUGGAAGCGAUCUUUUAUAGUUAAAAAGUGCUUAAUUAUUGUUUUUCACAGUCAAAGUGAUUGAUUCACUUUUUUUUUGUUUGUUUGUUUUUUGAUUUUCUCCGCUUUUUCUCCCCAAUUCCCAAAGUCCUCGUGGUGGUGUAGUGACUCUUCUCAAUCCGGGUGGCGGAGGACGAAUCUCAGUUGCCUCCACGUCAGAGAUUGUCAAUCCGCGCAACUUAUCACUUGUUGAGCGCGUUACCGUGGAGGCGUCACGCUAUUCUCCUCGGCAUCCCCGCACAUCAUAGCGACCACAAGGAGGUUACCCCACGUCCCUCCCAAGGAACUGGGCCAAUUUGGUUGCUUAGGAGACCAGGCUGGAGUCACACAGCACGCCCUGGAUUCAAACUCAAGACUCCAGGGGUGGUAGUCAGCGUCUUUACUCGCUGAGCUACCCAGGCCCCAGUCCAUUCGCUUUUGAAGACAUUAGUGUCACCGCUGAGGAUCUGCUGAGCCUGGAUCUUUUUCUACAAAUCUUCAAAAGUGUUUUGCAGAAGAAAGACAUUCAUACACAUCUCAGAUGGCAUGAGGGUGAGUAAAUUAUCUGAGAAUUUUCAUUUUUGGGUGAACUAUCCCUUUAAACCAAAACAUGGACUUUCUCCCAACAGAGUAAUUUAAUCAAAGAAGACAAUAAGCAAAAUUAACAUGUUGAUUGCAUUCGAAAAUUUAAUUGGUGUGAAAUGACAACAUUUUUGUUGGGAUGCUUUCUAUGCUAAGUUUAGUAAUAGCAACAGGAGCAUUUGUCAAACAUUUACUUCAUCGGUCUAUUGAAUUCUUAAUUCUGUUAGUCUAGCUGUUGAGGGGUGAUGCAAUGAGACCUGAAGUCUUUCACGCAAUGAAAUCACAAAUAGCCCUUUUCCGUAGACAUGGUUCAGGGGCGGUUUCCUUGGCUGGUGCAAAUUCUCAAACUGUUCCACGUGUUUCCACCGCAGAACAGGCCAUUCAGGGACGGAAAAACUGGUUCUGUACCACCCCCCAAAAGCUUGCUGGUUUCUAUGCAGAAACCGAUUAAGCCAGGGGACAGAGGGCAUGAUUGUUUCGUCACCAAAAUUUUACAAACAACAACAGGAGCUACUGUCUGCAGCAAGGAGUAUGUCAUCCCUCUUCAACAACAAUAAAAAAAUAAAUAAAAUAGGAAACACGGAUGAAACGAGCACUCUACUUGCGAUAUGGUCUUCUACGGAGAUCAGAGAUAAACUAGAAAGACAAAAGAGAGACUACGAGGAGAUACAAUAAGAAAUGAUGCACGCCAGUAUGCAAGCUCAGUAAGUUAAUAGAUUUGCUGACUUUGUGAGCUUUCCUCACACUCUUCUCAUCUUAUUUUGUGCAUUGUUUUGUUCAAUAAGGGGAUUUUUUACCAGCUACUCACUAAAUUAGGAAGCUCGCAGCGAUGUGUUCUGUAAACCGGUGGGAUUUCAUAGAGUUUAUAGUACUUAGCAAGAUAAGCAACUUUAAAAAGUUCAUACAUAAUAAUGUAAUUACAUUACCUAUCAUCUCUGGCAAUCUUGUUGAGCAAUGUUAUAACAUUGGAUUGCAUUUCUCUGUAUUUUUAAAUAUUUCCUCAAAAAAACAGGAGUUAAAACUGUAGGCUAUGCAAAAACAGUAAAACUCGUCACGUAAAACUACCACGUAGCUCCAGAUUGCCCCGGCCAUGAACCAGCGGAGCACAGUCCAGGGUUCCCAUGCAUCCUGGAAAACCUGGAAUUUUACAAUGCAGUUUUCCAGUCAUGGAAAAUUAGAAAAAUACCUGAAUGUCCUUCCUGGAAAAUAAUUAUUUGUCCUGAAAAAUAUUUCAGUAUAAUAAAACUGUUUGACUGUGUUGCUAACAAGGUUUUCGUUACAUGUACAAAAACAUGGUAACGAUCUGGACUCAGAAUAGGAGUCAAAUACAGGAAUUCAUAUCGUUUUGUCACUGCCGGUAGCUGCACAUUGUGAAACAAUCUCAACGGUUAAGGGCGCUUACACCCUUGUGACUGAUUACAGCAGCGUCCAAUCGUGUGCUUGGCAAUCGCGGUCCAACCGAGGCAGAUCGCUUGAUGGUUACAGCUACUGCAAAUCGUGUGCUUGGCACGUGCACAGUGAGAAGUGGCACUCGUGAAACUUCUCAUUCAUAAACAAACAGAAUGAUCUGGUGCAUGUACCGAACGACUGAAUGAGAGGGGCAUGUUGUUAGUUUACUUCAGCUUCGUCAUGUGAGUCUACCUUGUUCAUCACGGAGAGAAAAGGGCGGAAGAGCUGUUAUUGCACAAAAGUGACUGUUUAUACACAUUGAGGGGCUUUCACAUGACUGCCGUCAGCACCGCCAAGUACACUGAAUCUAAGAAGUAACGCGUCAACGCAACCUCGGCUACAACUUCACACCAAAGUGUUUUUCACACACGUUUUUGCCUCACAUAAAUAAUGUCCUUGAGAGUACAAAGCUACAAGAUAUAUUUUAAAACUGUCCAAAUUUGGGGGCCUGGGUAGCUCAGUGGUAAAAGACGCUGGCUACCACCCCUGUAGUUCGCUAGUUCGAAUCCCAGGGCGUGCUGAGUGACUCCAGCCGGGUCUCCUAAGCAACCAAUUUGGCCCAGUUGCUAGGGAGGGUAGAGUCACAUGGGGUAACCUCCUCGUGGUCGGUAUAAUGUGGUUCGUUCUCGGUGUGGCACGUUGUGAGUUGAGUGUGGAUGCUGCGGUGGGUGGCGUGAAGCCUCCACACGCGCUACGUCUCCGUGGCAACACGCUCAACAAGCCACGUGAUAAGAUGCGCGGGUUGAGAGUCUCAGACGUGGAGGCAGCUGGAAUUCAUCCUCCGCCACCCGGAUUGAGGCGAGUCACUACGCAACCAUGAGGACUUAAAGCGCAUUGGGAAUUGGGCAUUCCAAAUUGGGUGAAAAAGGGGAACACCCCCCCCCCCCCCCCAAAAAAAAAACUAUCCAAAUUUAUGAAGAGAUAUUGAAUGUCUCAUAAUUUAUUUUAAUUAAUUAUUAUCUUAUUGUUUCCGAGUAUCCAGAGACCCCAGUUAUUGGACUACAGUAAUUACAUUUACAAAAAAACGCUAAGACCUAAACAUAAAUGAGUCCUCCUUUUAAUUUCUGCAAUCAAAACAAUUGCCAUUUUUUCUCUUCCAAUUACAUGUUUUCAAUGUUUAUUAUGCACACCUCCCGCUUUCUUGCGUGGCAAACUCGUAAAUUCACCCCUCCAAGACACUUUCUGCAACACUUGUCAUGUGGAGGGCAAAGCGCCGCUUGACGCACGACUCAACACGUGUGAAAUGCACUUUACAAUGACCAAAGGACAUUAUUGAAACUCAAAAUUAUUAUUAUUACAAUUAGGCUAUUAUUGUGGUCUUUUCUGGUAAAAGUCAUGCUCAGCAGUUUAAAUGCUGUAGGAGAAUGAUACAGUAGAUCCACUUUGUUCUUAUAAUGCUUAAACGUUCUAAUGAAGUCAUUUGACAUGUAAAUUUUAAUGGAGAAGUUAAAGACGUAAUUGAUGCUCAUUAAUAUUAUGGAUGAAAAGGAUGAAAAGUCAUGCUCGGCAGUUCACAAACCGAACGGAAAUUAUAGAUCUACUUUGUUCUUAUAAUGCUUAAAUACUAUAAAGUCUCUUGGCAGUUUUCGGUCGUGAACAUCUCAAAAUUAUUCAAUGACUCACUCAUAGCACAUAAGAUGCUCAUUUUUCGCCACCUAUUGGCAUCUCCAGAAGUGGUCACGAAACUAGUCAAUUAACGAAACUGAACAAAUUUGUGAAACAGAAGCAAGCCACACCAAAAUACUCUUUAUUUUUUGCAGAUAAUUCUGCACAGUUGUGCAGAUAAUUUUCUAUACUUGAAUAAUUAAAAUAGCUUAAUAUGGUGCUUUAGCUUAUUCUUUAAAAAAAUAACCCCGAAAAACAUGUUCGUGGAUCAGUGAUGGUCUCACUUUUUUCGCCCCUCAUGAGUUUGCAUCCCUGUGAGUCAUAAACUUUAGACAACGAUGACAGUCGGACCGCUGAUUAUUUAAAAAAUGAAUUCACACUGGGUUGGUUACAUGGUGAUUUGGCCUUAAUACCUCGGGAUGUGAAUUAAUUUUCAAUAAUUCAACGAUCUGAGCCAGCUUAUACCGCGGUUACCACAUGUAGUAUGCGGAAAACACGUAAUCUAGUCGUAAAAAUGGCAUUAGCAGUAAAAUGCAGAAUGUCAUGGAAUAUGACACAUUUGGACGAAAAUGAAUGUACAAUUAAUCAAAUAAAAAUUCUGAUUGUCCUAGUGUGAUAAUUAAACUAAAAAAGUCUCUGAUUUAAUUGAAUAAAUAAAUGCAAGUGAUGCGUGCUUCAAAAUGAAUGUGUAGAGCCGUCCAUUCAUACACUGAAAACACCUCAUCAUGAUCAUCAUGCGCUCUUGUGUGUGAGAUGACAGAGACAGAGAUCACUCUGAAGUGUGCAGCACAUACAGACUAUUUAUUUAUUAAAUUGAAUCACAGCUUUACAGGGAUUAAUAAUCACUCUGGGCCAUGGAGCAAACUGAGUAUCUGGAGUUGAGAAACUACCGUUAAAAACAAACAGAAACGGCAAAAUAAAAGCUCGAUUUAAAUGGAUGCUUGUGUUUUUGCUUAAAUAUUACACUUGUUGGGUGCAUAAAAUGUCCUGGAAAAUUGUGCCUUGAAAAGAGUGGGAACCCUGACAGUCUUGGCACGAGAACCAUCUGCGUUUCGGUGGAAAAGGGCUAAAAAGAGACAUCUAUCUGGUCAAAGGCAUGUCCAUAUGGAAUCUGUGCACAUAAAACUCUACAGAGAACUCCAUAGAUUUUGAGAAAUAUUCACAAAGUUCUAAUAAUAUUUUGGCUAAUUUGAUUAUCAUAGUUUCAGCUACUAAUAAGUCUGUAGUACUUUCCGCUCUGUUUAACCCAUUCCACAGAUUUCGCCCCAAAAUCAGCAGCGAAAAUAUAAAGAAAAAAAAGUCCAAUGGUUCAGUCUGGGAUAAGCUACUCAUUAGUUGUCAUAAGGUGUUCCAAGUUUAUUCAAUCAACAAUUUUUACACUGUGGAUGAAAAUAUAUAAUCUUUUCUGACGCUUUUUGUGUUUUGGAGUAACAAUAGAUAAGUUAAUGACAUUUAUUAUGCAUGGGAGUGUCUCAAACAACGGUAAUAUUAGUGUAUUAAAGAAGUAGUUUACCCAAAAAUGAAGACUCUCUUGUCAUUUUCUCACCCUCUUGUGGUUACAUAUUGGUUUCAGACUGUUUACAUAGUUUAUCAAGGAUGUGAUUGGAGAGUGAAAAUGUAAAUUGAGGUCUGUGCAUGAUUCAAAUUAAUUGUAUACUCAAUUACUUUUUUUUUUUUUUUUAGAUUAAGCAUUUCAGUUUAAUAACAAAAUUCCAUCAAAUUGAAUUUUGUAAUCUUUAACUAAAUAAUUGUUUUUUUUUUUUCACCCGAUUUGGAAUACCCAAUUCCCAGUGUGCUUUUAAGUCCUUGUGGUGGUGUAGUGAUUUGCCUCAAUCUGGGUGGCAGAGGAUGAAUCCCAGUUGCCUCUGCAUCUGAGACCGUCAACCUGUGCAUCUUAUCACGUGGCUUGUUGAGCGUGUUGCUAUGGAGACAUAGUGCGUGUGGAGGCUUCACGUCAUCCACUGUGGCAUCUGCGCUCAACUCACCACACGCCCCACCGAGAAUGAACCACAUUAUAGUGACCACGAGGAGGUUACCUACCCUCCCUAGCAACUGAGCCAAUUUGGUUGCUUAGGAGACCUGGUCACUCAGCAUGCCCUGGGAUUUGAACUAGUGAACUAGCAAACUCCAGGGGUGGUAGCCAGUGUCUUUUACCACUGAGCUACCCAGGCCCCCUACUAAAUAAAGUUUUUAAAAAAUAUAUAUAAAUAUUUUAAAUUCUAUUUAAUUUAGGUAAAAAUUACACAAUUAAAUUUGAUGGAAUUUUGUUAUGAAAUUGAAAUGCAGGUAAUAUUGUUACUCUUGUAUCCAUGGAAUCUUCAUUGUGUUCGUGUUUUUUGUUUUUGUUGUUUUUUUGUUUUUGUUGUUUUUGUUGUUUUUUUGUAUUUGUUGUUUAAUGUGAAACCAAAUAAAAAAUAAUAUUUGCAACUAAAAAAAAAAAUGCGUAAAAUCCGAUACGCACCGUUACACGCUCUACUGGCAGUGAUGUGCAAUGAUUUUCACCGUUUGGGAAAAGUAUUGUGUGAUUAUUUUUGUGUAUUCUUAUGAAUGCAAUUAAUAUCAAUUUCUGAAUUACCAAAAAUUGCUUCUUAUUGUGGUCUUAAAUUUUUCUUUCAAAAUGUAAUGCAUUCAGUCUUAAUCCAUCACUUUAUUAGGAAAAACAAUGUGUUUUUAGCAAAGCAACAUUUAAUAAAAUAAUUGAAUUAA